This 447-nucleotide ribosomal RNA is filed under the name uncultured bacterium. Its description in RNAcentral is "bacterial SSU rRNA". It matches the Rfam family "Bacterial small subunit ribosomal RNA", at positions 355 to 825 of the family's 1533-position model. The record is from RNAcentral.
UCGGGAAUUUUGGGCAAUGGGGGAAACCCUGACCCAGCAACGCCGCGUGAAGGAUGAAGUAUUUCGGUAUGUAAACUUCGAAAGAAUAGGAAGAAUAAAUGACGGUACUAUUUAUAAGGUCCGGCUAACUACGUGCCAGCAGCCGCGGUAAUACGUAGGGACCAAGCGUUGUUCGGAUUUACUGGGCGUAAAGGGCGCGUAGGCGGCUUGACAAGUCACUUGUGAAAUCUCUGGGCUUAACCCAGAACGGCCAAGUGAAACUGUCAUGCUAGAGUGCAGAAGGGGCAAUCGGAAUUCUUGGUGUAGCGGUGAAAUGCGUAGAUAUCAAGAGGAACACCUGAGGUGAAGACGGGUUGCUGGGCUGACACUGACGCUGAGGCGCGAAAGCCAGGGGAGCAAACGGGAUUAGAUACCCAAGUAGUCCCUGAGCGGGCUGGCAAGGCGCAU